Molecule: non-coding RNA, 70 nt
Filed under: Paenibacillus nuruki
Lineage: Bacteria; Bacillati; Bacillota; Bacilli; Caryophanales; Paenibacillaceae
Description: Paenibacillus sp. TI45-13ar Bacterial small subunit ribosomal RNA
Rfam family: Bacterial small subunit ribosomal RNA
Source: Rfam by way of RNAcentral
UUUAUGGAGAGUUUGAUCCUGGCUCAGGACGAACGCUGGCGGCGUGCCUAAUACAUGCAAGUCGAGCGGC